CAAGAUAGCCGAAUGACUUGGAAAAGUCAGCCAAAGUGGGUGAAAGCCCCGUAGGCAAAAUUUUGUGAGCACCUAUGAGUAUCCUGAGUACGGCGGAACACGAGAAAUUCCGUCGGAAUCUAGGAGGACCAUCUCCUAAGGCUAAAUACUCCCUAGUGACCGAUAGCGAACCAGUACCGUGAGGGAAAGGUGAAAAGCACCCCGGGAGGGGAGUGAAAUAGAACCUGAAACCGUGUGCCUACAACAAGUUAGAGCCCGUUAAUGGGUGAUAGCGUGCCUUUUGUAGAAUGAACCGGCGAGUUACGAUUGCAUGCGAGGUUAAGUUGAAGAGACGGAGCCGUAGCGAAAGCGAGUCUGAAUAGGGCGAUAGAGUAUGUAGUCGUAGACCCGAAACCAUGUGAUCUACCCAUGUCCAGGUUGAAGGUGCGGUAAAACGCACUGGAGGACCGAACCAGGACACGUUGAAAAGUGUUUGGAUGAGGUGUGGGUAGCGGAGAAAUUCCAAACGAACUUGGAGAUAGCUGGUUCUCUCCGAAAUAGCUUUAGGGCUAGCCUCGGAAGUAAGAAUGAUGGAGGUAGAGCACUGUUUGGACUAGGGGCCCAUCUCGGGUUACCGAAUUCAGAUAAACUCCGAAUGCCAUUCAUUUAUAUCCGGGAGUCAGACUGCGAGUGAUAAGAUCCGUAGUCGAAAGGGAAACAGCCCAGACCACCAGCUAAGGUCCCCAAAUGUAUGUUAAGUGGAAAAGGAUGUGGGGUUGCACAGACAACUAGGAUGUUGGCUUAGAAGCAGCCACCAUUUAAAGAGUGCGUAAUAGCUCACUAGUCGAGUGACCCUGCGCCGAAAAUGUACCGGGGCUAAACAUACUACCGAAGCUGUGGAUUGUACUUACGUACAAUGGUAGGAGAGCGUUCUAAGGGCGUUGAAGGUAGAUCGUGAGGACUGCUGGAGCGCUUAGAAGUGAGAAUGCCGGUAUGAGUAGCGAAAGACAGGUGAGAAUCCUGUCCACCGAAUAACUAAGGUUUCCUGGGGAAGGCUCGUCCGCCCAGGGUUAGUCGGGACCUAAGCCGAGGCCGACAGGCGUAGGCGAUGGACAACAGGUUGAUAUUCCUGUACUCGUUGUUUUCGUUUGAGCAAUGGAGGGACGCAGGAGGCUAGGAAAAGCAGACGAAUGGAAAUGUCUGUCUAAGCAGUGAGUUUU
RNAcentral lists this ribosomal RNA (1199 nucleotides) under Enterococcus cecorum. RNAcentral's name for it is "23S ribosomal RNA (partial)". It matches the Rfam family "Bacterial large subunit ribosomal RNA", at positions 325 to 1527 of the family's 2925-position model. Lineage: Bacteria; Bacillati; Bacillota; Bacilli; Lactobacillales; Enterococcaceae. The record is from RNAcentral.